RNAcentral lists this long non-coding RNA (486 nucleotides) under Capsella rubella. Its description in RNAcentral is "long non-coding RNA (CRUB_LNC001064)". Lineage: Eukaryota; Viridiplantae; Streptophyta; Magnoliopsida; Brassicales; Brassicaceae. The record is from RNAcentral.
UUUGAGACGACAUAAGGUCGCCGAUAAGUAAUUUUUUGUUGUAAAAUAUUUGGUAUUGUACGAUAAAUAUAUUACCAAGUUUUCUAUUAUUUUUUUUUAUAAAAGGAUAUAUACGAUUAUACAAUAUCACAAAUAAAUAACUAAAUAAAUUAAAGCUAAGUGAUUAUUAGUGAAAAUAACGAGUAAUAAAGUACACUGAUUCAAGUUAUAAUAACAAUUAGUCGGUGCGUAAUCGAAGCCCCAUGUUAGCACGAGAUUUCUUUGAGAGGAGAAAACGAAACAAGUAGAAGACAAGCAACAUUUAAAUAUAUAUUUUUAAAUUAUUAUAAAAUUUAAAAUCAUGCCACUUAAAUCAUGUGCUGAUAAUUUAUUUUUAGAGUUGUCCAAAAAAAAAAAAAAAGAGUGUUGUUAAUUAGUUUGGAAUCUUAUGAAGAAACUUAAAUUCUAUUUCUAGGGUUUUGUUAUGGACCGACUCUUUAAUUUGUC